This 459-nucleotide ribosomal RNA is filed under the name uncultured bacterium. RNAcentral describes it as "partial 16S ribosomal RNA". It matches the Rfam family "Bacterial small subunit ribosomal RNA", at positions 338 to 794 of the family's 1533-position model. The record is from RNAcentral.
CCUACGGGAGGCUGCAGUGAGGAAUAUUGGUCAAUGGACGAGAGUCUGAACCAGCCAAGUAGCGUGAAGGAUGACUGCCCUAUGGGUUGUAAACUUCUUUUAUAUGGGAAUAAAAUGUUCCACGUGUGGGAUUUUGUAUGUACCAUAUGAAUAAGGAUCGGCUAACUCCGUGCCAGCAGCCGCGGUAAUACGGAGGAUCCGAGCGUUAUCCGGAUUUAUUGGGUUUAAAGGGAGCGUAGGUGGAUUGUUAAGUCAGUUGUGAAAGUUUGCGGCUCAACCGUAAAAUUGCAGUUGAAACUGGCAGUCGUGAGUACAGUAGAGUUGGGCGGAAUUCGUGGUGUAGCGGUGAAAUGCUUAGAUAUCACGAAGAACUCCGAUUGCGAAGGCAGCUCACUGGACUGCAACUGACACUGAGGCUCGAAAGUGUGGGUAUCAAACAGGAUUAGAUACCCCAGUAGU